CGAAGCGGACGACGCGGACGCUCCCCGGGCCCGUCCCCUGCCGGUAAACCGGCAAGGGACGCCGGGGGGAGGAAAGUCCGGACUCCACAGGGCGGUGCGCCUCCUAACGGGAGGGAGGGGUGACCCUACGGAAAGUGCAACAGAGAGCAGACCGCCGAUGGCCCGAAAGGGAUCAGGCAAGGGUGAAACGGUGGGGUAAGAGCCCACCAGGCCCGCGGGCAACCGCGGGUGCUUGGCAAACCCCGCACGGAGCAAGGUCGAAUAGGGGGGCGAUCGAGGCCGGCCCGGCCGAAGCCCCCGGGUAGACCGCCAGAGCCGCGGGGAGACCUGCGGCCCAGACGAAUGUCCGCGCACCCCGGGAACGGGGUGAACAGGAUCCGGCUUACGCGCCGCUUCGGGCU
RNAcentral lists this RNase P RNA (401 nucleotides) under Acidobacteriota bacterium. Its description in RNAcentral is "Acidobacteria bacterium (wastewater metagenome) RNase P RNA component class A". It matches the Rfam family "Bacterial RNase P class A". From Rfam's summary of the family: Ribonuclease P (RNase P) is a ubiquitous endoribonuclease, found in archaea, bacteria and eukarya as well as chloroplasts and mitochondria. The record is from RNAcentral. Lineage: Bacteria; Pseudomonadati; Acidobacteriota.